Papaver somniferum (opium poppy) is the source of this 258-nucleotide long non-coding RNA. RefSeq lists it as uncharacterized. NCBI's taxonomy places the organism in Eukaryota, Viridiplantae, Streptophyta, Magnoliopsida, Ranunculales, Papaveraceae. The transcript has 3 exons. The record is from RefSeq and is a predicted model, not a curated record.
CUUUCUUCUUCAAGAGUUGACAAAAUGGAUCAAAUCAGGAUACUUUCAGUAUGUGGGAGGUUUAUGCUAUAUGGGUGUCAGUAAUACAUGAUGUAUUUUGGCGUGUUUGAGGAGCAUGGUCCGCGGUGGUGUUUUUUAACUAGACAUGUCAUGGAAUCGAUGGUGUCAUUAUGUUUGCUGUGAUUUAUUGCGAAGAAAAGAGAUUGAGAUUGUCCAAGCUUGAUGGAUCUCUUGCUUGCUUUUUUGAAAAGAACUGGA